This 250-nucleotide ribosomal RNA is filed under the name uncultured Cytophagia bacterium. RNAcentral describes it as "partial 16S ribosomal RNA". It matches the Rfam family "Bacterial small subunit ribosomal RNA", at positions 524 to 773 of the family's 1533-position model. Lineage: Bacteria; Pseudomonadati; Bacteroidota; Cytophagia. The record is from RNAcentral.
UACGGAGGGUGCAAGCGUUGUCCGGAUUUAUUGGGUUUAAAGGGUGCGUAGGCGGCACCUUAAGUCAGUGGUGAAAGACGGUUGCUCAACAAUCGCAGUGCCAUUGAUACUGGGUAGCUUGAGUACAGUCGAGGCGGACGGAAUGCACGGUGUAGCGGUGAAAUGCAUAGAUACCAUCAAGAACACCGAUUGCGAAGGCAGUUCACUAGGCUUUAACUGACGCUGAGGCACGAAAGCGUGGGGAGCAAAC